Molecule: transfer RNA, 86 nt
Filed under: Muribaculaceae bacterium
Lineage: Bacteria; Pseudomonadati; Bacteroidota; Bacteroidia; Bacteroidales; Muribaculaceae
Also listed under: 1 other name
Description: tRNA-Ser
Rfam family: tRNA
About the family: Transfer RNA (tRNA) molecules are approximately 80 nucleotides in length. Their secondary structure includes four short double-helical elements and three loops (D, anti-codon, and T loops).
Source: RNAcentral
GGAAAGAUGCCGGAGUGGUCGAUCGGGGCGGUCUCGAAAACCGUUGUACGCUUUGCGUACCGUGGGUUCGAAUCCCUCUCUUUCCG